GAUGAACGCUGGCGGCGUGCCUAAUACAUGCCAGUCGAACGCUGAAGGAAGGAGCUUGCUCUUUCCGGAUGAGUUGCGAACGGGUGAGUAACGCGUAGGUAACCUGCCUGGUAGCGGGGGAUAACUAUUGGAAACGAUAGCUAAUACCGCAUAACAGUAGAUGUUGCAUGAUAUCUACUUAAAAGGUGCAAUUGCACCACUACCAGAUGGACCUGCGUUGUAUUAGCUAGUUGGUGAGGUAACGGCUCACCAAGGCGACGAUACAUAGCCGACCUGAGAGGGUGAUCGGCCACACUGGGACUGAGACACGGCCCAGACUACUACGGGAGGCAGCAGUAGGGAAGCUUCGGCAAUGGACGGAAGUCUGACCGAGCAACGCCGCGGGAGUGAAGAAGGGUUUCGGAUCGUAAAGCUCUGUUGUAAGAGAAGAACGAGUGUGAGAGUGGAAAGUUCACACUGUGACGGUAUCUUACCAGAAAGGGACGGCUAACUACGUG
Molecule: ribosomal RNA, 497 nt
Filed under: uncultured bacterium
Lineage: Bacteria
Description: partial 16S ribosomal RNA
Rfam family: Bacterial small subunit ribosomal RNA
Source: RNAcentral